GGGUUGUGAGGUUAAGCGACUAAGCGUACACGGUGGAUGCCCUGGCAGUCAGAGGCGAUGAAGGACGUGCUAAUCUGCGAUAAGCGCCGGUAAGGUGAUAUGAACCGUUAUAACCGGCGAUUUCCGAAUGGGGAAACCCAGUGUGACUCGUCACACUAUCAUUAACUGAAUCCAUAGGUUAAUGAGGCGAACCGGGGGAACUGAAACAUCUAAGUACCCCGAGGAAAAGAAAUCAACCGAGAUUCCCCCAGUAGCGGCGAGCGAACGGGGAGGAGCCCAGAGCCUGAAUCAGCAUAUGUGUUAGUGGAAGCGUCUGGAAAGGCGCGCGAUACAGGGUGACAGCCCCGUACACAAAAGCGCAUGUGCUGUGAGCUCGAUGAGUAGGGCGGGACACGUGGUAUCCUGUCUGAAUAUGGGGGGACCAUCCUCCAAGGCUAAAUACUCCUGACUGACCGAUAGUGAACCAGUACCGUGAGGGAAAGGCGAAAAGAACCCCGGCGAGGGGAGUGAAAAAGAACCUGAAACCGUGUACGUACAAGCAGUGGGAGCACCCUUUGGGGUGUGACUGCGUACCUUUUGUAUAAUGGGUCAGCGACUUAUAUUCUGUAGCAAGGUUAACCGAAUAGGGGAGCCGGAGGGAAACCGAGUCUUAAUUGGGCGUUAAGUUGCAGGGUAUAGACCCGAAACCCGGUGAUCUAGCCAUGGGCAGGUUGAAGGUUGGGUAACACUAACUGGAGGACCGAACCGACUAAUGUUGAAAAAUUAGCGGAUGACCUGUGGCUGGGGGUGAAAGGCCAAUCAAACCGGGAGAUAGCUGGUUCUCCCCGAAAGCUAUUUAGGUAGCGCCUCGUGAAUUCAUCUCCGGGGGUAGAGCACUGUUUCGGCUAGGGGGCCAUCCCGGCUUACCAACCCGAUGCAAACUGCGAAUACCGGAGAAUGUUAUCACGGGAGACACACGGCGGGUGCUAACGUCCGUCGUGAAGAGGGAAACAACCCAGACCGCCAGCUAAGGUCCCAAAGUCAUGGUUAAGUGGGAAACGAUGUGGGAAGGCCCAGACAGCCAGGAUGUUGGCUUAGAAGCAGCCAUCAUUUAAAGAAAGCGUAAUAGCUCACUGGUCGAGUCGGCCUGCGCGGAAGAUGUAACGGGGCUAAACCAUGCACCGAAGCUGCGGCAGCGACACUAUGUGUUGUUGGGUAGGGGAGCGUUCUGUAAGCCUGUGAAGGUGGCCUGUGAGGGUUGCUGGAGGUAUCAGAAGUGCGAAUGCUGACAUAAGUAACGAUAAAGCGGGUGAAAAGCCCGCUCGCCGGAAGACCAAGGGUUCCUGUCCAACGUUAAUCGGGGCAGGGUGAGUCGACCCCUAAGGCGAGGCCGAAAGGCGUAGUCGAUGGGAAACGGGUUAAUAUUCCCGUACUUGGUGUUACUGCGAAGGGGGGACGGAGAAGGCUAUGUUGGCCGGGCGACGGUUGUCCCGGUUUAAGCGUGUAGGUGUGUGUUCCAGGUAAAUCCGGUUCACUUUAACACUGAGGCGUGAUGACGAGGCACUACGGUGCUGAAGCAACAAAUGCCCUGCUUCCAGGAAAAGCCUCUAAGCAUCAGGUAACAUCAAAUCGUACCCCAAACCGACACAGGUGGUCAGGUAGAGAAUACCAAGGCGCUUGAGAGAACUCGGGUGAAGGAACUAGGCAAAAUGGUGCCGUAACU
RNAcentral lists this ribosomal RNA (1702 nucleotides) under Salmonella enterica subsp. enterica serovar Schwarzengrund. RNAcentral describes it as "partial 23S ribosomal RNA". It matches the Rfam family "Bacterial large subunit ribosomal RNA", at positions 1 to 1735 of the family's 2925-position model. The record is from RNAcentral. Lineage: Bacteria; Pseudomonadati; Pseudomonadota; Gammaproteobacteria; Enterobacterales; Enterobacteriaceae.